CUCAAAAGAACACUCAACAUUAUGACAAAACAACUGGAACGUAACCACGGUGUAAUUUGAAGGAAAACAGGGGAGUUCCACCUAAAGUGGCAGAAGCUUUGCUAUCGUAUCUGGGUCAGAAGAACGCAACAUUCCCCAGCACACACACACCCACACAGCUGUGCUGUGGGUGUGAGGCAGCCGUAGUAGCAGGAGCUGUUCCACCCUAAUGUACUCCCUCCAGCGCUGCCAUAUGGAAAAAGGUACACCUUCUGUUUUGCUACAAUAACAAUCAUCACGGUCAUCAACGCUCACAAACACAGAUACUUUAACGGGAGAAGGGAAGGAGCAAAACCAAACAGGAACAAACACAGGCGGAUACAGAGAGGCAGAAUGAGGAGAGAGAAGCCGGGAAUCAGACGACAUUCUCUCUUGCUGCUGCAUCAUGAAUGUUUCCUCCAGUGUGAGACUGAGUGUGAGUGCGUGGUGUGCGUGCGUGCACGCCUCACUGUGUGUUUUGAUGACGGAGUCUGUGUAGCAGCUCGGGGAGUGAGUGAGUGAGCGAGCGGGCGAGCGAGCUACACAGCCAGGAGCAAGGUACGGCGAGAAGAAAUUGGCUUCUUCAUUACCUCGCCAAGUGUCUCCAAUCUCAUCCUCAACGGCUCUCCUUCUCCUCCUCGUCUGCUGCGAGCGGGUACGUCUCUCACAAAACACAUGUACUGCAGAUGGUGAUUUAUGAGGUGCACAGGGGCAGGGGGAUGGGAGGAGCAUCGAAGUGGGAGGGAUCCGUGGAGUUUGAAGAAGAGGAGGUGCUGAGGAGAGGGAGGAAGCAAUCAACACGCAGUGUAAAUCAGUCACUGAGCCGUUUGCUCGUCGCCGCCUUGCACGUAACCUCGCACUGGCCAAGCCAAUUCAAAGCUUACAUGUAGCACAACAUCGCUUCGGCUGUGUUAGGGAUCUUAUCUCUAGUGGAUUUGCAGCCAGUGGCAACGUGUCAACAUGUCAGGCCAGAAAUUCAAACACUAGUCUUCUCAGUGAUGUUGUCCUUGACUGGCUGUAAGAUGGAUGAGGUUUUUUUCUCUCCAAGGGAUUAAAACCCCAAUAGCCAUCAGAUGGUCUCCAUAGAUUGUAUAGAAGUCAUAUAGGGAGGAUGGACCUGAGUACUACUGUACAACACCACUGAAAAAGACCGGUAGCAUAUACAGAAUUUACUAAAUGGACAUUAUGGAAGAAGACUUGAAACCAGAAAUUGAAACCAUAAACCCAUUUGUAAAAUAUUUAACAUUCAAUAAAUGUUUCCCAUUGAUCUCAAUGCAAUCAGACUUCAUUUAGGCUCUUGGAAUAAAUGCAAGUGUAAAGAAUUUCUGCAUUAGUUUCACUUGCGAACACAGGGUCUGUUCCUGUUAUCAUCCCCUGGUACACAUAUUUUUCCAAAACAGUGUAAUUGUGCAUCCUUACACAUCUGUCAGUAUAGAUUUCACGGAGGGUACCUAUUCAUUCUCACAAACUAAGGACGUGUGACAUAAAGAAAUGAAGGAAGAGAUAUGCGUUCAGAUUAAAGAAACUACACUCGCUGCCCUUGGAAGUGCAUCUGGGAUGCUGUAUAAUUACGCUUCACCUCUGCGGUGAAGAGCUGUUUUCUUGCUCCUCCCAGCCCAUCAGCAAACUGCUAAAACAUUCCUCCUUGCUUCAAUCUUUUCAACAUGAUUAGCUCCUUGUUACCAGCAGGAGCUGAACAACAGGUUGUAUUGUGCCUGUUUACAAGGUUUUGGAUCAUUGAAUGUCUGCAUGAGAAAGAAGGCACAGUGGGAUAUAAAUACUGAGAUAAUAUCCUAAAUAUACCGUUCAACAAGAAAAAUGAAAAAGCUUUGUAAAUAUUAUUAGAAUAUUUUUUGAAAAAUGUCAUAGGAAAAGAAGUCAAAAAAAUAUUUUGAAAAUAAGUCAAUGUUGGUCGAAUAUAUUAUAUAUAUAUGUAUAUUAUAAAUAUAUUAUUUUAAAAAUGUCAUUGAAAAUAAAUGUAAAAAAUAUUAGGACGCUACGGUAACCAACGCAGGUUUUUUCGGGCGUAAGGAAUUGGAUGUGUGGCGGGAGUGCGUGACUAGUGAAAUGAGUGACUGUCACGCUCAAUGCGUGAGAGUCCUGCAGCUUAUGCUC
Long non-coding RNA from Gasterosteus aculeatus aculeatus (three-spined stickleback), 2133 nucleotides. Lineage: Eukaryota; Metazoa; Chordata; Actinopteri; Perciformes; Gasterosteidae. The record is from Ensembl.